Molecule: ribosomal RNA, 494 nt
Filed under: uncultured bacterium
Lineage: Bacteria
Description: partial 16S ribosomal RNA
Rfam family: Bacterial small subunit ribosomal RNA
Source: RNAcentral
AUGAACGCUAGCGGGAGGCCUAACACAUGCAAGCCGAGCGGUAGAGAUCUUUCGGGAUCUUGAGAGCGGCGUACGGGUGCGGAACACGUGUGCAACCUGCCUUUACCUGGGAGAUAGCCUUUCGAAAGGAAGAUUAAUACCCCAUAAUAUAUAGAGUGGCAUCACUUUGUAUUGAAAGCUCCGGCGGAUAGAGAUGGGCACGCGCAAGAUUAGAUAGUUGGUGAGGUAACGGCUCACCAAGUCAGUGAUCUUUAGGGGGCCUGAGAGGGUGAUCCCCCACACUGGUACUGAGACACGGACCAGACUCCUACGGGAGGCAGCAGUGAGGAAUAUUGGACAAAGGGUGAAAGCCUGAUCCAGCCAUCCCGCGUGAAGGACGACGGCCCUAUGGGUUGUAAACUUCUUUUGUAUAGGGAUAAACCUACCCUCGUGAGGGUAGCUGAAGGUACUAUACGAAUAAGCACCGGCUAACUCCGUGCCAGCCGCCGCCGUAA